Molecule: ribosomal RNA, 468 nt
Filed under: uncultured bacterium
Lineage: Bacteria
Description: partial 16S ribosomal RNA
Rfam family: Bacterial small subunit ribosomal RNA
Source: RNAcentral
GACGAACGCUGGCGGCGUGCUUAACACAUGCAAGUCGAACGGAAAGGCCCUGCUUUUGUGGGGUGCUCGAGUGGCGAACGGGUGAGUAACACGUGAGUAACCUGCCCUUGACUUUGGGAUAACUUCAGGAAACUGGGGCUCAUACCGGAUAGGAGCUCCUGCUGCAUGGUGGGGGUUGGAAAGUUUCGGCGGUUGGGGAUGGACUCGCGGCUUAUCAGCUUGUUGGUGGGGUAGUGGCUUACCAAGGCUUUGACGGGUAGCCGGCCUGAGAGGGUGACCGGCCACAUUGGGACUGAGAUACGGCCCAGACUCCUACGGGAGGCAGCAGUGGAGAAUAUUGCACAAUGGGCGGAAGCCUGAUGCAGCAACGCCGCGUGCGGGAUGACGGCCUUCGGGUUGUAAACCGCUGUCGCCUGUGACGAAGCGUGAGUGACGGUAAUGGGUAAAGAAGCACCGGCUAACUACGUG